AGUGGAGCCUGCGGCUUAAUUUGACUCAACACGGGAAACCUCACCAGGCCCGGACACCGGAAGGAUUGACAGAUUGAGAGCUCUUUCUUGAUUCGGUGGGUGGUGGUGCAUGGCCGUUCUUAGUUGGUGGAGCGAUUUGUCUGGUUAAUUCCGAUAACGAACGAGACUCUAGCCUGCUAACUAGGCGUAUUUCGACAUCCCAAAGGCCCGCCGGUUCGGGGUUUCCGCUCCUUUCCGCGCGCGGUUUUUACUGUCGGCGUACAAACAAUUCUUCUUAGAGGGACAGGCGGCUUCUAGCCGCACGAGAUUGAGCAAUAACAGGUCUGUGAUGCCCUUAGAUGUUCUGGGCCG
RNAcentral lists this ribosomal RNA (351 nucleotides) under Olenecamptus octopustulatus chinensis. RNAcentral describes it as "SSU rRNA". It matches the Rfam family "Eukaryotic small subunit ribosomal RNA", at positions 1175 to 1489 of the family's 1831-position model. The record is from RNAcentral. Lineage: Eukaryota; Metazoa; Arthropoda; Insecta; Coleoptera; Cerambycidae.